RNAcentral lists this ribosomal RNA (326 nucleotides) under uncultured eukaryote. RNAcentral's name for it is "partial 18S ribosomal RNA". It matches the Rfam family "Eukaryotic small subunit ribosomal RNA", at positions 1470 to 1796 of the family's 1831-position model. The record is from RNAcentral.
CCCUUAGAUGUUCUGGGCUGCACGCGCGCUACACUGAAGCGUUCAACGAGUAUUUCACCUUGCCCGGGAGGGUUGGGUAAUCUUUUUAAAACGCUUCGUGAUGGGGAUAGAUUAUUGCAAUUAUUAAUCUUCAACGAGGAAUUCCUAGUAAGCGCGAGUCAUCAGCUCGUGCUGAUUACGUCCCUGCCCUUUGUACACACCGCCCGUCGCUCCUACCGAUUGAGUGCUCAGGUGAAUAAUUCGGACUGCAGCAAUGUUCGGAUCCCGAACGUUGCAGCGGAAAGUUUAGUGAACCUUAUCACUUAGAGGAAGGAGAAGUCGUAACA